CACGUAGGGGGCAAGCGUUGUCCGGAUUUAUUGGGCGUAAAGAGCUCGUAGGCGGCUCAGUUAGUCGGGUGUGAAACCCCCGGGCUCAACCCGGGGACGCCACCCGAUACUGCUGUGGCUAGAGUCCGGUAGGGGAGCGUGGAAUUCCUGGUGUAGCGGUGAAAUGCGCAGAUAUCAGGAGGAACACCAAUGGCGAAGGCAGCUCGCUGGGACGGUACUGACGCUGAGGCGCGAAAGCGUGGGGAGCAAACAGG
RNAcentral lists this ribosomal RNA (254 nucleotides) under uncultured bacterium. Its description in RNAcentral is "partial 16S ribosomal RNA". It matches the Rfam family "Bacterial small subunit ribosomal RNA", at positions 524 to 776 of the family's 1533-position model. The record is from RNAcentral.